CACGUAGUUAGCCGUCCCUUUCUGGUAAGUUACCGUCACUGUGUGAACUUUCCACUCUCACACACGUUCUUCUCUUACAACAGAGCUUUACGAUCCGAAAACCUUCUUCACUCACGCGGCGUUGCUCGGUCAGGGUUGCCCCCAUUGCCGAAGAUUCCCUA
This 161-nucleotide ribosomal RNA is filed under the name uncultured bacterium. RNAcentral's name for it is "partial 16S ribosomal RNA". The record is from RNAcentral.